RNAcentral lists this ribosomal RNA (2954 nucleotides) under Paenibacillus larvae. Its description in RNAcentral is "23S ribosomal RNA". It matches the Rfam family "Bacterial large subunit ribosomal RNA". Lineage: Bacteria; Bacillati; Bacillota; Bacilli; Caryophanales; Paenibacillaceae. The record is from RNAcentral.
AGUUAAGCUGGUAAGAGCACACGGAGGAUGCCUAGGCGCUAGGAGCCGAAGAAGGACGUGGCGAGCAACGACAAUAUACCCCGAAGUCGUAAGCAGACUUUGAUCCGGGGAUCCGAAUGGGGGAACCCGGCUGCGGUUAUGCGCAGUCACUCACUUCUCGAUCCAUAGGAAGUGAAGAGGCAAGACCAGGGGAACUGAAACAUCUAAGUACCUAGGGGAAAGAAGAAAUCGUGAUUCCGUCAGUAGCGGCGAGCGAAAGCGGAGGAGCCCAAACCAGAGAGCUUGCUCACUGGGGUUGUGGUGCCCUUAUACGGAGUUACAAAGGAGCAGAUUAGGCGAAGAGGUCUGGAAAGGCCUGCCACAGAAGGUAACAGCCCUGUAGCUGAAAGUCUGCUCUCUCCAAGGUGGAUCCCGAGUACGGCAGGACACGAAACCCCGUCGGAAUCGGCAGGACCAUCUGCCAAGGCUAAAUACUCCCUAGCGACCGAUGGUGACAGUACCGUGAGGGAAAGGUGAAAAGCACCCCGGGAGGGAGUGAAGAGAACCUGAAACCGUGUACAAGAAGUCAGAGCCCUAUGAUUUUCUUCGUCGGGGUUGAUGUGCCUUUUGUAGAAUGAACCGGCGAGUUACGCUUGCAUGCAGGAUUAAAGAUUGUGAAGAGCCGGAGCCACCGUAGUCCUGAGCAAGAUAAAAGCAUAAGCUUACAGUAGCAAUACUUUGUAUUGCUUGGAAGUAUGCAGGCGUAGACCCGAAACCGUGUGAUCUACCCUGUCCGAGGUGAAGGGGCGGGGGUAACACUCACUGGAGGCCCGAACCACAGACUCGGUAGAAAAAUUCGGGGAUGAGGGUGGGGGCCAGCGGAGAAAUUCCAAUCGAACUCGGAGAUAGCUGGUUCUCCUCGAAAUAGCUUUAGGGCUAGCCUCGGGUUAGAGUGAUGGAGACAAAGCACUGAUUGGGUGCGGGGCCCGCCAAGGGUUACCAAGUCCUAGUCAAACUCUGAAUGCCAUCCACUCGGUGCCCGGGAGUCAGACAGUGAGUGCUAAGAUCCAUUGUCAAGAGGGAAACAGCCCAGAUCAUCCUUCAGGUCCCCAAGUGUGUGUUAAGUGGGAAAGGAUGUGGAGUUGCACAGACAACCAGGAUGUUGGCUUAGAAGCAGCCACCAUUUAAAGAAGUGGUGUAAUAGCUCACUGGUCGAGUGACUCUGCGCCGAAAAUGUAACGGGGCUAAAUACCACCGAAGCUAUGGGUCCUAAUUAAGGGCAGUAGGGGAGCGUUCCAAGCAGCAUAGAAGGUUGACCGUGAGGACAGCUGGAGCGCUUGGAAGUGAGAAUGCCAGUAUGAGUAACGAAAAGAUCAGUAUGAGAAUCUGAUCCGCCGAAAGCCUAAGGGUUCCUGAGGAAGGUUCGUCCGCUCCAGGGUAAGUCGGGACCUAAGGCGAGGCCGAGGAAGGCGUAGUCGAAGGACAACAGGCAGAAAUUCCUGUACCACCAGAAAACAUAGCUAUGAGCGAUGGGGUGACACAGUAGGGUAGGGACGCAGCUGAUGGAAGUGCUUGUCAAGCAGUGAGGCUGGUGUGCAGGCAAAUCCGCACACGAUGAAAGCCGGGCUGUGACGGGGAGUGAAAAUAGCAGUAGCGAAGGUCUUGAUCUCACACUGUCAAGAAAAGCCUCUAGCCAGGUGCAGGUGCCCGUACCGCAAACCGACACAGGUAGGCGAGAAGGAAUUCUAAGGCGCGCGGAAGAACUCUCGUUAAGGAACUCGGCAAAAUGACCCCGUAACCUUAGGGAGAAGGGGUGCCCCGGUAAGUGAAUAGCUCGAGGGGGCCGCAGUGAAUAGGCCCAAGCGACUGUUUAGCAAAAACCACGGUCCCAGCCGACCGCAAGGCGAAGUAUAGCGGGCUAAGCCGCCUGCCAGUGCUGGAAGAGGUUAAAGGGGAGUGGUUAGGGCUUAAGGCCCGAAGCUAUGAACCGAAGCCCCGGCAAGCAGCGGCCGUAACCUCUUGGUCCUGAAGGUAGCGAAAUUCCUUGUCAGGUAAAUUCUGACCACUACGAAUGGCGUAACGGCUUGGGCGCUGUCUCAGCGAGGUCCGGUAGGUACAAUACACCAAUGAAGAUGCGGGUUACCCGCGACAAGACGGAAAGACCCCCGUGGAGCUUACUGCCAGCGAUGUGGACUUUGGUACGAUCUGUACAGGAUGAGUGGGCUAAAGCCGGAGCGCCAGCUUCGGUGGAGGCAACGUUGGGGACCACUCUGGUCAUGUCGGAGUUCUAACCGGGACCGUGAACCGGUUCGGGGACGUGUCGAGUGGAGCGGGUUUGACUGGGGCGGUCGCCUCCUAAAGAGUAACGGAGGCGCCCCAAGGGACUACCUCGAUGGUUUGGAAAUCAUUCGAAAGUGCAAAGGCAGAGAGAAUGACUGCAGGAGACCUACAAGUCCGAGCAGGGGACGAAAGUCGAACGUGAUCGGUGUUGCCCCGUGGCUGGAAGGAGCCCAUCGCUCAACGGACAAAGCUACCUGGGAUAACGAGCAUAUCUCCCCCAAAGUCCAUCUGACAGGGGAGGUUUGGCACCACCUCGAUGUCCGGCUCAUCACAUCACUGGGCUGAUGAGUCCCAAAGGUUGGGCUGUUCGCCCAGUAAACGGUGCACCGAGCUGGGUUCAGAACGUCCGUGAGACAGUUCGGUCCUAUCUGUCAUUGAGCGCAAGUGAGGGGAGCUGUCCUUAGUACGGAAGGAUGGAUGGACGUACCGCUGGUGUGCAGUUGUUCCAUGGGAAGCCUGGCUGGGUAACCUAUGUGCACGGAAGGAUAACGCUGAAGGCAUCUAAUGAAGCCGCCUCAAGAUGAAUUUCCCAAUCAGUAGACCCCUUGAAGACGACUGAGGCGUGAAUGGGUUCGGGGGUGAGCACAAGCAAUGCAUGGAGCUGACCAAUACUAAUCAGUCGAGGGCUUAUCUAA